RNAcentral lists this ribosomal RNA (156 nucleotides) under uncultured Enterobacter sp. Its description in RNAcentral is "partial 16S ribosomal RNA". It matches the Rfam family "Bacterial small subunit ribosomal RNA", at positions 378 to 525 of the family's 1533-position model. The record is from RNAcentral. Lineage: Bacteria; Pseudomonadati; Pseudomonadota; Gammaproteobacteria; Enterobacterales; Enterobacteriaceae.
GCAGCCUGAUGCAGCCAUGCCGCGUGUAUGAAGAAGGCCUUCGGGUUGUAAAGUACUUUCAGCGGGGAGGAAGGUGCUGAGGUUAAUAACCUCAGCAAUUGACGUUACCCGCAGAAGAAGCACCGGCUAACUCCGUGCCAGCAGCCGCGGUAAUGA